Molecule: transfer RNA, 85 nt
Filed under: human gut metagenome
Also listed under: 1 other name
Rfam family: tRNA
About the family: Transfer RNA (tRNA) molecules are approximately 80 nucleotides in length. Their secondary structure includes four short double-helical elements and three loops (D, anti-codon, and T loops).
Source: RNAcentral
GAGAGGUGGCCGAGUGGUUGAAGGCACCGGUCUUGAAAACCGGCAUGCGGUAAAACGUAUCGAGGGUUCGAAUCCCUCCUUCUCC